This is a long non-coding RNA of Fundulus heteroclitus (mummichog), 1331 nucleotides long. RefSeq lists it as uncharacterized. NCBI's taxonomy places the organism in Eukaryota, Metazoa, Chordata, Actinopteri, Cyprinodontiformes, Fundulidae. The transcript is spliced from 9 exons. The record is from RefSeq and is a predicted model, not a curated record.
CAGGGACCCAGAGUGCAAGCAGUGGGGAUUGAACCGGGUACUUGCAUCCUUCUCUAAGUGCAAGCACGCUGCUCUGACCACUAGGCUAACACUCCCCAGUGUGUGUCCAUCAGUGUCCAUCAGUGGGUGUAGGUGUGGGUGUGUCCAUCAGUGGGUGUAGGUGUGGGUGUGUCCAUCAGUGGGUGUAGGCGUGGGUGUGUCCAUCAGUGUUUCUCCAUCAGUGGGUGUAGGUGUAGGUGUGUCCAUCAGUGGGUGUGGGUGUGUCCAUCAGUGUUUCUCCAUCAGUGGGUGUAGGUGUGGGUGUAGGUGUAGGUGUGUCCAUCAGUGGGUGUAGGUGUGGGUGUGUCUAUCAGUGGGUGUAGGUGUGGGUGUGUCCAUCAGUGGGUGUAGGUGUGGGUGUGUCCAUCAGUGGGUGUAGGCGUGGGUGUGUCCAUCAGUGGGUGUAGGUGUGGGUGUGUCCAUCAGUGGGUGUAGGCGUGGGUGUGUCCAUCAGUGGGUGUAGGCGUGGGUGUGUCCAUCAGUGGGUGUAGGUGUGGGUGUGUCCAUCAGUGGGUGUAGGUGUGGGUGUGUCCAUCAGUGUUUCUCCAUCAGUGGGUGUAGGUGUAGGUGUGUCCAUCAGUGGGUGUAGGCGUGGGUGUGUCCAUCAGUGGGUGUAGGUGUGGGUGUGUCUAUCAGUGGGUGUAGGUGUGGGUGUGUCCAUCAGUGGGUGUAGGUGUGGGUGUGUCCAUCAGUGGGUGUGGGUGUGUCCAUCAGUGUUUCUCCAUCAGUGGGUGUAGGUGUGGGUGUGUCCAUCAGUGGGUGUAGGCGUGGGUGUGUCCAUCAGUGUUUCUCCAUCAGUGGGUGUAGGUGUAGGUGUGUCCAUCAGUGGGUGUGGGUGUGUCCAUCAGUGGGUGUAGGUGUAGGUGUGUCCAUCAGUGGGUGUGGGUGUGUCCAUCAGUGUUUCUCCAUCAGUGGGUGUAGGUGUGGGUGUGUCCAUCAGUGGGUGUAGGCGUGGGUGUGUCCAUCAGUGGGUGUAGGUGUGGGUGUAGGUGUGGGUGUGUCCAUCAGUGGGUGUAGGUGUGGGUGUGUCCAUCAGUGGGUGUAGGCGUGGGUGUGUCCAUCAGUGGGUGUAGGCGUGGGUGUGUCCAUCAGUGGGUGUAGGUGUGGGUGUGUCCAUCAGUGGGUGUAGGUGUGGGUGUGUCCAUCAGUGUUUCUCCAUCAGUGGGUGUAGGUGUAGGUGUGUCCAUCAGUGGGUGUAGGUGUGUGUGUGUCCAUCAGUGGGUGUAGGCGUGGGUGUGUCCAUCAGUGGGUGUAGGUGUGGGUGUGUCCAUCAGUGGGUGCGGGUGUGUCCA